GCCUGGGUGGCUCAGUCGGUUGGGCAUCCGACUUCAGCUCAGGUCACGAUCUCACGGUCUGUGAGUUCGAGCCCCGCCUCGGGCU
This 85-nucleotide transfer RNA is filed under the name Felis catus (domestic cat). It matches the Rfam family "tRNA". Rfam says of the family: Transfer RNA (tRNA) molecules are approximately 80 nucleotides in length. Their secondary structure includes four short double-helical elements and three loops (D, anti-codon, and T loops). The record is from Rfam by way of RNAcentral. Lineage: Eukaryota; Metazoa; Chordata; Mammalia; Carnivora; Felidae.